UACGUAGGGGGCGAGCGUUGUCCGGAAUUAUUGGGCGUAAAGAGCGUGUAGGCGGUUCGGUAAGUCUGCUGUGAAAUCCUGAGGCUCAACCUCGGGCGUGCGGUGGAUACUGCCGGGCUAGAGGACGGUAGAGGCGAGUGGAAUUCCCGGUGUAGCGGUGAAAUGCGCAGAUAUCGGGAGGAACACCAGUGGCGAAGGCGACUACCUGGCCUGUUCUUGACGCUGAGGCGCGAAAGCUAGGGGAGCAAACGGG
This 253-nucleotide ribosomal RNA is filed under the name uncultured bacterium. RNAcentral's name for it is "partial 16S ribosomal RNA". It matches the Rfam family "Bacterial small subunit ribosomal RNA", at positions 524 to 776 of the family's 1533-position model. The record is from RNAcentral.